RNAcentral lists this ribosomal RNA (492 nucleotides) under uncultured bacterium. RNAcentral's name for it is "partial 16S ribosomal RNA". It matches the Rfam family "Bacterial small subunit ribosomal RNA", at positions 29 to 507 of the family's 1533-position model. The record is from RNAcentral.
AGUGAACGCUGGCGGUAGGCCUAACACAUGCAAGUCGAACGGCAGCACAGUAAGAGCUUGCCCUUACGGGUGGCGAGUGGCGGACGGGUGAGGAAUACAUCGGAAUCUACUUUUUCGUGGGGGAUAAUGUAGGGAAACUUACGCUAAUACCGCAUACGACCUACGGGUGAAAGCAGGGGAUCUUCGGACCUUGCGCGAUUGAAUGAGCCGAUGUCGGAUUAGCUAGUUGGCGGGGUAAAGGCCCACCAAGGCGACGAUCCGUAGCUGGUCUGAGAGGAUGAUCAGCCACACUGGAACUGAGACACGGUCCAGACUCCUACGGGAGGCAGCAGUGGGGAAUAUUGGACAAUGGGCGCAAGCCUGAUCCAGCCAUACCGCGUGGGUGAAGAAGGCCUUCGGGUUGUAAAGCCCUUUUGUUGGGAAAGAAAAGCAGCAGGUUAAUACCCCGCUGUUCUGACGGUACCCAAAGAAUAAGCACCGGCUAACUUCGUG